Molecule: ribosomal RNA, 373 nt
Filed under: uncultured organism
Description: bacterial SSU rRNA
Rfam family: Bacterial small subunit ribosomal RNA
Source: RNAcentral
CGGGGGGAGCAAGCGUUGUUCGGAUUAACUGGGCGUAAAGGGCGCGUAGGCGGCGCAACAAGUCACUUGUGAAAUCUCCGGGCUUAACCCGGAGCGGCCAAGUGAUACUGUCGUGCUAGAGUGCGGAAGGGGCUACUGGAAUUCUCGGUGUAGUGGUGAAAUGCGUAGAUAUCGAGAGGAACACCUGCGGCGAAGGCGGGUAGCUGGGCCGACACUGACGCUGAGGCGCGAAAGCCAGGGGAGCGAACGGGAUUAGAUACCCCGGUAGUCCUGGCCUUAAACGAUGGAUGCUUGGUGUCCGGGGUUACAUAGUCCCCGGGUGCCGGCGCUAACGCAUUAAGCAUCCCGCCUGGGGAGUACGGUCGCAAGACUG